AUGGCAAGAAGAAUGGAAAAGUCCCUGGGAGCUUUAUUCAAAUUCAGCUGAAGCUGGCCAAGAAAAGGAUGUGAUACAGAGUUAUUCAAAUCUAAAUGUCUAGGAGAGAGAAAUGGCCGUUAUUAAUGACAGUUAUACAGAUGGAGCUUUGAAUUAUUUCUGUUGGUACAAGAAGAAAACGGGGAAGGCCCUAAUAUCUUAAUGGAGAUUCAUUCAAAUGUGGAUAGAAAACAGGACAGAAGGCUCACUGUACUGUUGAAUAAAAAUGCUAAACAUGUCUCCCUGCAUAUUACAGCCACCCAACCAGGAGACUCAUUCCUGUACUUCUGUGCAGUGAGAA
This 340-nucleotide long non-coding RNA is filed under the name Homo sapiens (human). RNAcentral's name for it is "non-protein coding lnc-ABHD4-8:1". The record is from RNAcentral. Lineage: Eukaryota; Metazoa; Chordata; Mammalia; Primates; Hominidae.